GACGGAGGAUCCAAGCGUUAUCCGGAUUCAUUGGGUUUAAAGGGUGCGUAGGCGGACUUAUAAGUCAGUGGUGAAAGCCGAUAGCUUAACUAUCGAACUGCCAUUGAUACUGUAAGUCUAGAGUAUAGAUGAUGUUGGCGGAAUAUGACAUGUAGCGGUGAAAUGCAUAGAUAUGUCAUAGAACACCGAUUGCGAAGGCAGCUGACAAAACUAUAACUGACGCUGAUGCACGAAAGUGCGGGGAUCAAACAGG
Molecule: ribosomal RNA, 253 nt
Filed under: uncultured bacterium
Lineage: Bacteria
Description: partial 16S ribosomal RNA
Rfam family: Bacterial small subunit ribosomal RNA
Source: RNAcentral